This 256-nucleotide ribosomal RNA is filed under the name uncultured bacterium. RNAcentral describes it as "partial 16S ribosomal RNA". It matches the Rfam family "Bacterial small subunit ribosomal RNA", at positions 524 to 776 of the family's 1533-position model. The record is from RNAcentral.
UACGUAGGGUGCAAGCGUUGUCCGGAAUUAUUGGGCGUAAAGAGCUCGUAGGCGGUUCGUCGCGUCGGCUGUGAAAUCCCGAGGCUCAACCUCGGGUCUGCAGUCGAUACGGGCGGACUGGAGUUCGGGCGAGGGGAGACGUGGAAUUCCGUGGUGUGCGGUGAAAUGCGCAGAUAUCAGGAGGAACACCAAUUGCGAAGGCAGCUCGCUGGGACGUUACUGACGCUGAGACGCGAAAGCGUGGGGAGCAAACAGG